This is a long non-coding RNA of Salmo salar (Atlantic salmon), 3025 nucleotides long. RefSeq lists it as uncharacterized. NCBI's taxonomy places the organism in Eukaryota, Metazoa, Chordata, Actinopteri, Salmoniformes, Salmonidae. The record is from RefSeq and is a predicted model, not a curated record.
AGAGGAGCAAAGCAUACGCAACGCCAUUUUGGAGGUGAAUUGAGAAAUGACGAAAAACGCUAACUAUAACAUCCGGCAUGUGGAGUAUAGGCCACGUAUGAUAUUUAUGAGUACUUCGUCAUCAUAUGGCGCUUCAUAUGUAUUUUGGCGAGGCGGAUUCCCAGCUACUGUAUUCAAAUUAGAUUCCCUAUAUUAAUUUAUUACACUGACCUAAAGGGGAGUGUUCUGUAGACAGAUCGACUGGAGUGAUGGAGGCCCACAAUUUGUCCUGCAUCAUUUGUUUGGAUCCCUUCACGGUCCCAGUCACCGUCCCAUGCAGUCACACCUUCUGUCGAGACUGCAUCACGGCUCUCUGGGACACCAAGUCCAAGUCCGACAUGCCCUAUCUGCAAUGAGAAAUUCACCACCAGGCUUGUCCUGAAUCGCAACGUGACCCUGUCCUCUCUGGCUGAGGCCUCAGCGAACAGUGCCGGUGCGUCCGGUAGAGACACUGUACCAGUUAUGAGGGGCGACAUGGCCAGAGCCAUGACCCUGAUUCUGUGUGACUGACACAAGAAGUCACUGGUGUACUACUGCUGGACAGACAACAUGUGUGUGUGCUGUGAGUGUGCCAUCUCUGAGUGUAAGAACCACGAGGAGGUGCUGGUGGAGUGUGAGAGGGAGAACCGAGAGGUGAAUGUCAGACAGACCUUAUGUAACUCCUAUGUUUUUGUGGAUGUCAAUGAGAUUAACACAUAAAAUAUGUUCUGGGGGCCUCCCGAGUGGCACAGCGGUCUAAGGCCCAGCAUCGCAGUGCUAGAUGCGUCACUACAGACCCUGGUUCGAUCCCAGGCUGUAUCACAAUUGGCCCAGCGUCAUCCGGAUGUCCUUGUCCCAUCGCGCUCUAGCGACUCCUUGUGGCAGGCCGGGCGCAUGCACGCUGACUUCAGUCGCCAGCUGUACAGUGUUUCCUCCGACAAGAAGCAGGGCGGCUUGGCGGGGUCGUGUUUCGGAGGACGCAUGGCUCUCGACCUUCGCCUUUCCUGAGUCCAUAUGGGAGUUGUAACUACCAAUUGCAUAUCAUGAAAUGGGGGAGAAAAAGGGGUCAAAAGAAUUCUGCCCCAGCCCCAUUGGCUGCCUGUGACCCAACACUAACUUCUGGAAAACACUGACUAUAUACACACUACAUUCUGUCUGAUGGGGACUACCUGCGGUCAACAUUUGUGUGCUGCAGCUGUCAUGGAAUUUAAUUCAUAUUCUACUACACACUCAAUGUGGUAUUGUCCAUCUGUUUCCACAGUCACUACUGUGGAGGAAGGGGGUGGAGGUGGGAAUAUGUAUGGAGACUGAAAGGAGCUGGGCUGACAGAGAAUAUCGCCCAAGAUGACCCUACAGCAGACCUCCCACUGGGUGAAUGCCAAGUUCUCCAUGCUGUUCGAGGUCCUAGCAGAGAAACAGGAGUCUACAGGGAAACUUCAUUGAGCAGGAGGGGGCUUCUCUCUUCCAGGCAGAGGCUCGGCUAGAGGAGCUGCUACAGGACAGGGCCCAGCAACUCAGAGAAAGCCAGGGCCAGAUCGUAGCCCUUAGCAACCUGUCCGACACCCAGCUAAUACAGGAGUCUCGGCUGGUGGAGGUCCCUCCUAUGAAGGACAUUCCGGUGGAUGUGACCCUUAACCUGUAGGAGAGGCUCAGCGGGGUGACAGACAUCCUGUCACGGAUCUCCAAACUAGUAUCUGAGGACCUGGAGAAGGCUGUGGGGCAGGACAAGCAAGGAUAAACGCCCCGUCCUGGCUGUGGUCCUCAGCCCUGCUGCUCCAUGUCACCCAGCUUGGAAAAAAGGCCUCAGUGAAUACCACUGCACUCUGACCCUCGUACGGGUCAACAGUCACCUGGUACUCUCCCAGGAGAACCGACAGGCAGAACACCUGACCGCCGCGCCGUGUCCCCGCCCACGAGACUCGUGUCCCCGCCCACGAGACUCGCUUUGACCACACCUGGCAGGUGCUCUGCUUCCAGGGCUUCAAACACAGAAAGCAGUACUGGGAGCUGGAGAUGUCCAAAGCCAUAGCCCUACCUGGGGUUCACCUAUGAGGGCAUCCCCAGGAAGGAAAAGGGAAAAGAGUAGCAUGGUGGGAAUGAACGAUCUGUCCUGGAGCCUCCAGCUGGAUGAGGAUCAGCUGAACGCCUGGCACAGCGGGCGCCGGGAGACGGUGGCUGGCCACUACCACCACAUUGGAAUGCUGCUGGAUUACGAGGCGGGAACGCUGACGUACUACGGAGACAGGCAGAUGAGGCUGCAUUCCUUCUACUGUGCCUUCACUCAGGAGCUGUUCCCCCGCCUGACGGAUAGGGGAGGGCGUCAGCAUCACCCUCUGCUCGCCAUGACGACAACACGAAAGGGAACAACUGAGCUAACAAUGUCAUAAGGGGCUAGUCUUGUAAAGCUGAUGAGUGUUGUGAUCUCGCCUUACUGUACAGAUGUUUUUACAGUCCUGUUGUGGGACACUGACUUGAACGAGAGCGACUGGUAAGUACAUAUGUGACACGGGACUCUUCUGCACUGUUUAUGUUCUGAAAUAUGGGAUCACUCGGGACAGUGGACUAGUCUUUGGGAUACUGAUGUGGAUUUGCAAGUUCUCAGAACCGUGAGCACAGUUAGGAACUGGAAAUGACUACUGUGCGGGAAACCGGUUUUCCAUAAGAGAAGGGAAAAGCACAUUUCUAGGAUCCCUAAACGCCGAAGAAAUUCCACAAAAGUUCCUGUUGGAUUUCUACUGAAGCUGACGUUAAAUGUUUUGCACUACUUUGUGUUGGAAGUUGGAACUGGACAAAUAUGGUAUUUAAAAUGUAGUCUUCUGAUUUAGACAGCUUGACGUUUUGUCAAACAAGGCAAUGACGUAGCGUGUAAAAAUACAGAAAGUCAGGUACCCAGGCUUGCAUCACAAUGUGUACAGAAAAAUGAACUACUGUCAAAUGAAUAAAAUGGACACACUUCACAUCACAAGAUCAGUUUAAUAAAAAUCCAAUCCAUAUUAGUUACAAUUGA